RNAcentral lists this long non-coding RNA (3126 nucleotides) under Octopus sinensis (East Asian common octopus). RNAcentral's name for it is "uncharacterized LOC118766346". Lineage: Eukaryota; Metazoa; Mollusca; Cephalopoda; Octopoda; Octopodidae. The record is from RNAcentral.
UAUCGACCCCGAAAGGAUGAAAGGCAAAGUCGACUUUGGUGGAAUUUGAACUCAGAACGUAACGGCAGAUGAAAUACCACUAAGCAUUUUGCCUGACGUGCUAACAUUUCUGCCAGCUUGCCACCUGUCAUCAGGCUCUUUCUACUGCAUCAGCUUUCACUACUUUUCCAAUUCUGCCUUAAUAAUUACAUUACCUCAGAACAGUAGAAAAUUGCCAAUGUUAUUCCUUUCCUGUCAAUUACUGUCCAAUCAGUCUCACAAAUUGUAUAACCAGCUUGAUGGAGUCUUCUGUCAGAGAGACACCCUGGAACUUCUGGAACUCUCAUAACUUUUGUUGGCCCUCAUGAUUUGAACUUAUCUCUACCUCCAGCUGCUGUGAUCAACUCAUUGAAUUUCUUAUUUGGAUCAUAGAUGUGAUUCAUGGGUGGAAGUUAUCUACCUCAAUUUCGUGAAAGGCUUUUAUUCUAUGCCACUCAAAUGACUUAUGGUGAAAGUCUCUGCAAUAGACAUCUAGUAUAACUGGUUGGAGUCCUCCAUUCUCAAUCAAAAAGAGGUAAAUAUGAUACCAAGACAGUAUUCUGCACCUUAUACAAUAAUGACUAUUGUCUUGCAAAGAUUUGUUUUUGGUCUGCUGUUAUUUGUUGCAUGCAUUAAGGAAAUAGAUGUCAACUAGAAACAUGCUGGUAACAUUAAGCUGUACUUUGAAAUAAAAAGAAUGGAUCCAUAGAUCUUUCAUGCAAUCUGACCUGGACAGAAUGCAACAAUGGAUUACUAAAUAGCAACUCAAGUUAGCUGUAGACACUAUACAUUUUGGGAGCAAAAAUCUGAAAUUUAUCUACUCCUUGCACCACACCAACUUUAAAAAGUCUGCUGGUGAAUGUGACCUAGACAUCAUUGUCAGCAAUGCUCUGUGCUGGGCAAACCACAUUUCUGAAAUUAUCAAAAAGACUAAUAGUAUCUUAGCAUUGCACAGUAAAACCUUUGUUGGCUGCCUCCCAACUAUCUAUUUAAAGCUAUGGUACGUCCACACUUAAAAGUUUGCAUUGCCAGUCUAGAACCCUGAUCUUUUUCAGAAUAUUGAUCUGCUGGAAGCUGUCUAAAGGCAUACAACCAGAUGAAUACCUUCAGUUAAUCACUUACCGUAUCUUAAAUGUAUCUCACCAUAUCUGCUCUGGAAAAUGACACAAAGUUUUGACAUGAAGCUGCUGACUUGGUACAAGAUUAUCCACCUUCUUUUGGCUGCCAUUUGGAAUUCAAUAGCUUUACCACAUGUGAAAUCAAAAAUCAGUGCAGCGAUCAUGAUUUUUGGAAACCUCAUUCAAUGCUCAGUUGUUGAAGAAUGGAACAAGCUACUCACAUCAAUUGACUAUCAGGAGACUACCUCCUUUAAAAACUCCUUGCUUCCUGAAAUUCACCAACGCCACUUUUGAUAUACCUGUGCACCUUUAUUCUUUAUGGCUCUUCUAAUAUUGACUUUUACGUCUAUUUUGUGCUUUAUUCUGUUUAAUGAAGCAACAGAUUCUAGUGAAACCAGUUGAUACCAAGAUAUCUGUUCUUGCUUUGUGGUUUAUGCAAAGAUUUGGAUGUGGUCCUUGCUUGUGUGUGGAAGUUCUCAGAAACUUGGAGCAACAAACUGGAAGAAAUCUGGAAAUCAUACCAGAUCAUCAUCAUUGGACAGGCCAAGGAAGAAAUAACUCCAUUAUCUCUCUUUGAGAUGACAGUCACACCACAUAGCAUUGGCUAGUUGGACAAUAAAAGGCAAAAUACCUAUUUGAUAAUAAUGAAGAACUUGAAGUUUAUGAUGAAGAAAUCGAGAUUUGUAUUGUCCUUAUUGUAGAUCCAUGGAGACCAUUCAAUCAUUUCUAUUUUCAAUAACUAAAAGCAAGAACUAUUUUACUUAUUUCAUGUAUUGGAGGAGCUUGUAGGGGAAGAAGAGGGUGCUAAAUUCUCCCAAACUGGAAGGGGGUGAACAAUAAUGAACUGGCAAUGUUUGCUAUCAAACUUGUCAUUGUAACAGACCAAUCAAUCGAUACAUCUCACAAAUUUUUUUAGUGGAAAAUGAGAAAGAUGGAGAAGAGUACCUUUGUUUAAGGUGAGAAAGUAAUGAAACCUUUAUUGAGAAAGAUCCAAACAUGACCAACACUGAUGAUGUCAGUCAGCAAGAUGACAUCUUAGAGUUUGAUGUGAAUAAAGUUUGGAAGGCUGUUCACUAAAUGGACGAAAUUCCAAUAAAUGAAGCUAAAGCUCUUUUGUCCAGAUUCAUUAGUGACAGAACAAGAGAUAAGUCUGUUGGACAAUUCCUGGUCCAAAAACUGAAAGAACUAGUUCAGAAAGCCAUGGACUAAUAGGAGACAAUUCUUUAUAUUUAACAGUAUUAAAUGACUUUCCUUGGUUUCAGCUGCAUAAAUAGCAAAUCUGUUCAAUUAGUUUUUACCUAGAGAAGACACAAGUCAACACAAUUCUUUGCAAAUUCUAAAUCUAAGAAUUAUACACACAUUACUAUUGAUUGCAAAGUUUUAAGUGAAUAACUUUUUUUUAUUAUAAUUUUAAAAGUUCCCCAAUUUCUUUACUUCUCUCUUUUCUUUUGUACGACAGUCAAUGGAGAAAAGCUUUUGUGUAACCAUCUCACACAACUGUCACGAGCUUAGAAUCUGAAGUUGACCAAUCAAUUUGUACAUUAACGGAUAGUAUUAUUUUUUAAAAUCAAAAUUUUUGUAACAAUAGCCAGAACAGACAUAAUUUGUGACAGUUCCAAUAUACUAUACACUUUUGAAAAUCUAAAUCAAUUGUAUUCCUCUGUUUCAAAGUAUAAUUAAAUUCUAAUUAAUUCUUAUUCUUUGUACAUUUUCAACUUCAUUUCUUCUAUUCUUCCACUUAUUUGGAUUAAUACAUCUGUUACAUACAUGUAUAUAUUUGUGCAUUAGUGGUUAUGUUACAUGAAUGGUUAUAUGCCUGUGUGUGUUUGUGUGUGUGUUACACGGAAUGAAGCGAUUUCAAAACUUUGUCAACUAUAAUUAACAUACAAAUAAUAUACUAAAUUUAACCUGUGAUGUGAGAACAGCAAAUUUGUUACUUAAUACAAUUAAACUAUUGCAACAACAACGUUUAAAAAAAAGACUUCAAUUU